UGGGGAAUAUUGGACAAUGGGCGCAAGCCUGAUCCAGCAAUGCCGCGUGGAUGAAGAAGGUCUUCGGAUUGUAAAGUCCUUUCGGCGGGGACGAUGAUGACGGUACCCGCAGAAGAAGGCCCGGCUAACUUCGUGCCAGCAGCCGCGGUAAUACGAAGGGGGCUAGCGUUGCUCGGAAUGACUGGGCGUAAAGGGCGCGUAGGCGGUUUUCGCAGUCAGAUGUGAAAUUCCUGGGCUUAACCUGGGGGCCGCAUUUGAGACGCGGAGGCUAGAGUGGGGAAGAGGGUCGUGGAAUUCCCAGUGUAGAGGUGAAAUUCGUAGAUAUUGGGAAGAACACCGGUGGCGAAGGCGGCGACCUGGUCCUUGACUGACGCUGAGGCGCGAAAGCGUGGGGAGCAAACAGGAUUAGAUACCCUGGUAGUCCACGCUGUAAACGAUGUGCGCUGGAUGUUGGCGGCCCUAGGCUGUCAGUGUCGUAGCUAACGCGGUAAGCGCACCGCCUGGGGAGUACGGCCGC
This 517-nucleotide ribosomal RNA is filed under the name uncultured bacterium. RNAcentral describes it as "bacterial SSU rRNA". It matches the Rfam family "Bacterial small subunit ribosomal RNA", at positions 355 to 889 of the family's 1533-position model. The record is from RNAcentral.